UUUAAUAUGGCAGAAAAAGUGCAAUGAAUUUAAGAUUCAUAAAUAAAAUCAUUUUUUAUUAAAA
This 64-nucleotide transfer RNA is filed under the name Hylaeus anthracinus. RNAcentral's name for it is "tRNA-Leu". The record is from RNAcentral. Lineage: Eukaryota; Metazoa; Arthropoda; Insecta; Hymenoptera; Colletidae. RNAcentral also lists the same sequence under 1 other name.